RNAcentral lists this ribosomal RNA (290 nucleotides) under Thalassiosira gravida. RNAcentral's name for it is "partial Bacterial large subunit ribosomal RNA". It matches the Rfam family "Bacterial large subunit ribosomal RNA", at positions 1781 to 2069 of the family's 2925-position model. The record is from RNAcentral. Lineage: Eukaryota; Bacillariophyta; Thalassiosirophyceae; Thalassiosirales; Thalassiosiraceae.
AGAGUCCAGGGGGAAACGACUGUUUACCAAAAACACAGGUCCGUGCGAAGUCGUAAGACGAUGUAUACGGACUGACUCCUGCCCGGUGCUGGAAGGUUAAGGGGAACUGUGAGUGUGAUGCGUAGCGGUGAACUUAAGCCCCAGUAAACGGCGGUGGUAACUAUAACCAUCCUAAGGUAGCGAAAUUCCUUGUCGGGUAAGUUCCGACCUGCACGAAUGGAGUAACGAUUUCCCUACUGUCUCCACCAUGAACUCGGUGAAAUUGCAUUACGAGUAAAGAUGCUCGUUAC